UACAGAGGGUGCGAGCGUGGUCCGGAAUCACUGGGCGUAAAGGGUGCGCAGGCGGCGGUUCGCGUGGCGAGAUGAAAUCUCCUGGCUUACCUGGGAGGGUGGUCGCCAGACGGGAUCGCUUGAGGGUCGGAGAGGGGCGUGGAAUUCCGGGUGGAGCGGUGAAAUGCGUAGAGAUCCGGAGGAACACCGACGGCGUAGGCAGCGCCCUGGACGACACCUGACGCUGAGGCACGAAAGCUGGGGGAGCGAACCGG
This 254-nucleotide ribosomal RNA is filed under the name uncultured bacterium. Its description in RNAcentral is "partial 16S ribosomal RNA". It matches the Rfam family "Bacterial small subunit ribosomal RNA", at positions 524 to 776 of the family's 1533-position model. The record is from RNAcentral.